Peromyscus californicus insignis is the source of this 621-nucleotide long non-coding RNA. RefSeq lists it as uncharacterized. Lineage: Eukaryota; Metazoa; Chordata; Mammalia; Rodentia; Cricetidae. The transcript has 5 exons. The record is from RefSeq and is a predicted model, not a curated record.
CAUUCAGCUACUUCCUGUCACAGCCUGGGACAGAAUUCUGGUCUUGCAAGAGCUGUGUCUGUUGUUUUAGCGCCCAGCGUUCUCUUCAUCCAUGAUCCCAAGACUAUUCUAAAACUUAGCGGGGUGAGUCCAGAGGUUGUGAAGCCAUCCCCUAUGGCAAGUGUGAAGUGCCUUUGAUGUGGCAGGUACAGCAUCUGGGCAGACAGACACACUUAAUCCACCAGUGCUUUGAUUUCACGUUUCAGUUGAGAGGUCAAUGGAUUUUAAACAUCUUCUCUUGGAACUACUUUUUGGACCUGCUGAUUCUGGAGGAUGCCCUGCGUGAGUUCACUUCCUCCAUAUUUGCUGAGAUGAGUUUUACAGCUUAGUAUAUUAACUCGUUAUAGAUGUAGUGGGUAGCCAUUCCAGCUUUGAUCUGGAAGUUCCAGCCCCCAAUGAGGCUUCGGUAACUGUCACGCCUACAAGGUGGACCGAGAGAGGACCCUGAAGACCAGAGAUCCCGAUGCACCAGCUCUCUUGGUUCCUGGAGCCUGGACGCUGGAGGUAGACAGAGCAGAGUUCUCCAAAGAACAGCACCGGACUGUGCUACACCUUUCCCAGACCCUGUUACCUAUCCCUUUA